RNAcentral lists this long non-coding RNA (1477 nucleotides) under Zea mays. Its description in RNAcentral is "long non-coding RNA (ZMAY_LNC002762)". Lineage: Eukaryota; Viridiplantae; Streptophyta; Magnoliopsida; Poales; Poaceae. The record is from RNAcentral.
GCUUGACAGAAGGCAAAAAUCCAAGUGUUGCGUGCGAGCGAUUACAGGAUAGCGUGAACAGUAUGGGGGUACUGUUCAUCUAUUUAUAGGCACAGGACGCAGCCCAUGGGGAAUUACAUUCAUGCCCUUUGCAAAGGUUUACAAUCAUAAUACAAAUUAUCAUGGGUCAGUUGGUCAUUUCAUCUUUAAGUCGGUGCAUUUGGAAAUAUGCUCUGAAGCCUUUUGAUUGAUAGCUUCGGCUUCGUGUCAACUUCCGAAGGUGUUUCUUCUUAUGAGACCUUCGGCGACGAAGCAGACCCCCAACACUAUAUAAUAGGAGUUCUGUACAAAAUAAAUAAUUAAUUACAUUAUAAGGAGACAACGGUCUAGCAACCCAAAGUUGACUGGGAGACGACGGCCUAGACCUCUCACGAACUCAUCACAACAUCCUCCAUGCCUCAUCCUGCGGUACCUGUUCUUGACCUAUGGGGGGUGUGAGACAGCAAGAGUGAGCUCAUAUACGUUCAUAGCUCAACAAGUUGUGGGGAAUAAUGUGCAUGAACUCGCCAAAGGUGGGAGCUCACGUGAAGUGUAAGGCUUACCAAAGAGGAUGGUUAGAGAUGAGCAUUGCUUUUAAAGUGGGUCAAAAUUUUAUUAGCAAUUACUAAGUGUAAGUAAAUACCAACCCAAUUAAGUAGUAGAACAAAAGUAAUAACAACACCUGCGAUGCAAUGCAUAUGACAAAUUGAAUUUAGUUCCAUAAAUUAAUCAUGUGAGGGUCCGAGCUGCUCAUGACCGUGAGCACGGUUGAUAUACCAGUUUUACACUCUGCAGAGUCUGCGCAUCUUUACCCACAAGUCAUGUUACCCAUCUGCCACGGGGUUGUACGGGCCCCAUACACCUCUACCAAGGAAGCGAGGCAGGGUAACACUACGGGGCCUUUACAAAGUUCCACUAGCUUCAGAAAACCCGCUACAGUUUAUAGGAAGCUCCAAUGCAGGGAUUUCUCGCCUGACCGCCAUCGCAGGAAAAUCAACCCAAGGACCUCCCUACACUGACCACUCCCCUACUGCCCUUGCCCCUUUCGGGUAAGGUAGUCCUCCACUAGCUUUCCUAGUUAAUCAGCCAAGGGCAUCCCAUACUACCCUUGUGGUAGCACUGUUUUCCCGGGUGGUCGCUCCAUGUUCCAAUUAACAUAAUGAUCUUAUCAUGAACAGUAAAUAACAACUGAUAACAAAAGUAUAAUCAUGAAAAAUGUUUAUCUCUAUACCCAAAUCUACAUAGAGCAAUAGCAGGUACUACCCAAAUAUUCAGUGGUGAACAAGGUAUAAAGAUAGUCAAACUAAGGUAACCUAUUGGGUCCCAUCAAAAUUAAUCUAUGCAGAUCAUUAUGAUUAAUUAGAACAUGACUGGGUAAAAAGAAGUGAUCAAGGGCAUAACUUGCUUGGGACUUGAGAUUCCAGGUACCAACUUGCUCUUCAGGUGACACGUGUCCUCA